CAGAAAGGUCACAAAUAGCACAGAGGCCAGGUAUGAAGGAUCCUAAGGACACAGAAGGCUGAGACCUCAAGAGCUCAGUUCAAAGCCAACCUGGACAGGAAAAAUCUGUGAGAAAAUUUGAGCCAAGGAUUCACUUUACCUGUUUCUAACCUGGUACCCUAAACCCCAUCCCCCCACCCCCCUAGGCACUCUCAGAGGGAGCAGUGCCUCUCUAUGGAUCCUCUGGUAUUGUCUGACUCCACAUCUGCUCAUUUCUCAGGGGUGGAUUUGAUGAGACCUCUAAUAUUCCAAAGGUCUAGAUGUCACAAUAUGUUUAACAGAAUGUAGCAUAAAUGGCAAAAUAAAGCAGCAAGGAAUCAUGACUUGUCUAUACAUAUAAUUGUGUGCAGAAGUUAAGGAAUUUAGGGUAAUCUCUGCAAAAAAAAAACGAUAAAGUCUCAAAAUAACUUUGCUAAUGUCUAGGAUUAGGAUUAGG
Molecule: long non-coding RNA, 475 nt
Organism: Perognathus longimembris pacificus (Pacific pocket mouse)
Lineage: Eukaryota; Metazoa; Chordata; Mammalia; Rodentia; Heteromyidae
Exons: 3
Source: RefSeq, a predicted model, not a curated record